GUUCUCAUUACUGGCAGCUGCCUGCACUGGUAUUGGGAAUAAAUAUUUAUUGUUUGUUUACACUUAGAAUUCGAUUCUCUUGAUUCUUUUGGUCUAAACCAAAAAUAAAACGAUAGGCCUACAUUUAGUCCUGGUUCACCUGUUAUUUUUUACAAGUUUAUAAAACAGACAAAUGAAGAUCUGCUGCAAGGAAACGGCGGUUCGACAUCUGUACUGAACUGUAUUGGGCAACAUACCUCCUAUAACAGGAAGAACCAGAAAUCAGAGCUCGUCACGCCGCAUGGACACCACCACCGCCGGUGAAAACGCUGCAUGCUAAACUGUCUCUCAAUCCCUCGCUCUGUCACAGACUGUCACAUUCAGGAAAACAGGUCUAUAACACGUGUGAAGAUGAGAAGAUGAGCGUUCAAGCCAACAUGAAAUCCACGAUUAUCUGACAGGCAGGCCACAGUUUCUGAGAUUACAGGGUUGUGUGUUUGAACGUCUGAUAAGUAACAUCGAGGACCCCCAGGGAACUGUACUAUCUCCCUAUCUGAACUUGAAGCUCAUUACACUCAUAUAUUUUAGACUUGUAAAAUAAUAAUAAUAAUAA
Molecule: long non-coding RNA, 592 nt
Organism: Cyprinus carpio carpio
Lineage: Eukaryota; Metazoa; Chordata; Actinopteri; Cypriniformes; Cyprinidae
Source: Ensembl